CGACGACAUAAACAGGAAAUGUACCAUAAUAACCGCAGGAAAGGUGUUGUCAGGAAAGCAACUUAUUUAGGCUUUUUAUAAUAAAACAACUCACACGCGUGCGCGCUGCUGCGGUAGACGGUACCUGCACGGCGAGACGAUGAGCUCGGGGUGCGCCGGUGAGAUGGAGCUCCUGACCCUGUCAGACCCCGCGCCCCCGGAGGACACAGCCAAGCUCAAGCACAGACUCCUCACGGCGUGGAACAGCCUGAAAUACGCAGGCUGGUUUCUGAAGUCCAAGCCUCGCCUCAGUAAGACUGAUCCCCUGUGGCUUCUGGGGCACAGUUACCUGCUCAGCCAGGACGGUAAACAUCCACACCCCCUCCAGCGACCUCGUUCUCUCUUCUAAAGGGGCUUUGUCUUUCCUUCAUGUGGUGAGCGAGACAGGUUUCGGCGGGCCUUCUGCUCUCUCCUGUGGUUGACCUAUAGGAGAGGCUUUGAGCCCCUGGGCGGUUCAUCCUUUAGCU
Molecule: long non-coding RNA, 506 nt
Organism: Electrophorus electricus (electric eel)
Lineage: Eukaryota; Metazoa; Chordata; Actinopteri; Gymnotiformes; Gymnotidae
Source: Ensembl